GUUUGAUCCUGGCUCAGGACGAACGCUGGCGGCGUGCUUAACACAUGCAAGUUGAACGGUACAGAUAUUGUAACGACUUUUCGGACUGGUGAAUAUAUUUGGUCAGUACCGGACGGGUGAGUGGUGUAUGAUCUCCUGCCCUUCAGAGGGGGACAACAGUUGGAAACGGCUGCUGAUACCCCAUAUGCCGGCAGGUGAAAGGAGCGAUCCGCUGAAGGAGUGGCUCAUGUCCUAUCACUAGUUGGUGAGGUAAGGGCUCACCAAGGCGAUGACCGGUAGCCGGCCUGAGGGGCGACCGGCCACACUGGAACUGAUAUACCGUCCAGACUCCUACGGGAGGCAACAUUGGGGAAUAUUGGAAAAUGGGCGAAAGCCUGACCCAGCGACUCCGCGUGAGGGAAGAAGGCCUUUGGGUCGCCACCUCUGUUGUAUGGGAAGAAGGAAGUGACGGUUACGAGUACGAAGGAAGUCCGUGCUCAACUAGUGCAACGCCGCUAAGUAAUAGUAGGACGAGGUUCCGUAAUACUGGCGUAAGGGCCCGCGAUAUUAAGUCAGUACUGUUAAACGUCUGGCUCAACUCAGAUGAUUGAAACUGUGGUAUUAGCAGUGUGGAGAGGUAGGCGGAAUGUCCGGGAUAGCAGUGAAUUGCGUAGAAAUCGGGAGAAACACCAGUGUUUAGGCGACUACUGACAGAGCGGUGAGCGCGAACAGCCAAGGAAGCGAUACCGGUAUUAGAUACCCCCGUAUCCUGAGCGAUCUACGAUGUAUGCGUAGCUGUGGGUGUCAGAGGCAUCCGUGCCGAAUAACGCCAUACAUUCCGUAUGGAGUACGUCGCAAUUGAAAUCAAAGGAAGUCGACGUGCCCCACAAGCGGUGGUACACGUCGUUAAUCGAUGCAACUGCCAAGACCUUCUACGUUGAAUGACUGAGUCACGGAUUGAAAUGAGAAGGACAUGACACUGGCAGCGCAGCUCACUAUGGUGCAUGCCGGUGGUCAGCUGUUGUCGUGAGAUGUUGGGUUAAGUCGCGCAACGAGCGCAACCCAUGCGUCCAGUCACCGUAGAGUGAAGUCGGGGAUUAUGGAUGCACUGCCAGUGACAAGCUGGAGGGAGGUGGGGAGGAGGUCAAGUCAUCGUGGCCUCAUCACGUACGGUGACACAUGGGCUACAAUGGCGGAUACAGGGUGAGUACAGCCUGCGAAGACAUGCGGAUCCCACAAAGUCGGUAUCAACAGAUAUUGCAGUCUGCAACUCGACUGCAUGAAGGAGGAAUGAAGUAGUAAUCGCGGAUCAGCCAAGAUCCGGAGAAUACGUUCCCGGCCUUUGUACACCCCGCCCGUCACACCACCCACGUUGGGUGCACCUGAAGCACGAGGCUUAACCUUUGCAGGAAGGA
This 1394-nucleotide ribosomal RNA is filed under the name uncultured Synergistales bacterium. RNAcentral describes it as "bacterial SSU rRNA". It matches the Rfam family "Bacterial small subunit ribosomal RNA". The record is from RNAcentral. Lineage: Bacteria; Thermotogati; Synergistota; Synergistia; Synergistales.